GACGAACUUUGGCGGCGUGCUUAACACAUGCAAGUCGAACGGAAAGGCCCUGCUUUUGUGGGGUGCUCGAGUGGCGAACGGGUGAGUAACACGUGAGUAACCUGCCCUUGACUUUGGGAUAACUCCAGGAAACUGGGGCUAAUACCGGAUAGGAGCUCCUGCUGCAUGGUGGGGGUUGGAAAGUUUCGGCGGUUGGGGAUGGACUCGCGGCUUAUCAGCUUGUUGGUGGGGUAGUGGCUUACCAAGGCUUUGACGGGUAGCCGGCCUGAGAGGGUGACCGGCCACAUUGGGACUGAGAUACGGCCCAGACUCCUACGGGAGGCAGCAGUGGGGAAUAUUGCACAAUGGGCGGAAGCCUGAUGCAGCAACGCCGCGUGCGGGAUGACGGCCUUCGGGUUGUAAACCGCUUUCGCCUGUGACGAAGCGUGAGUGACGGUAAUGGGUAAAGAAGCACCGGCUAACUACGUGCCAGCAGCCGCGGUGAUACGUAGGGUGCGAGCGUUGUCCGGAUUUAUUGGGCGUAAAGGGCUCGUAGGUGGUUGAUCGCGUCGGAAGUGUAAUCUUGGGGCUUAACCCUGAGCGUGCUUUCGAUACGGGUUGACUUGAGGAAGGUAGGGGAGAAUGGAAUUCCUAGUGGAGCGGUGGAAUGCGCAGAUAUCAGGAGGAACACCAGUGGCGAAGGCGGUUCUCUGGGCCUUUCCUGACGCUGAGGAGCGAAAGCGUGGGGAGCGAACAGGCUUAGAUACCCUGGUAGUCCACGCUGUAAACGGUGGGUACUAGGUGUGGGGUCCAUUCCACGGGUUCCGUGCCGUAGCUAACGCUUUAAGUACCCCGCCUGGGGAGUACGGCCGCAAGGCUAAAACUCAAAGGAAUUGACGGGGCCCCGCACAAGCGGCGGAGCAUGCGGAUUAAUUCGAUGCAACGCGUAGAACCUUACCUGGGUUUGACAUGGAUCGGGAGUGCUCAGAGAUGGGUGUGCCUCUUUUGGGGUCGGUUCACAGGUGGUGCAUGGCUGUCGUCAGCUCGUGUCGUGAGAUGUUGGGUUAAGUCCCGCAACGAGCGCAACCCUUGUUCACUGUUGCCAGCACGUUAUGGUGGGGACUCAGUGGAGACCGCCGGGGUCAACUCGGAGGAAGGUGGGGAUGACGUCAAGUCAUCAUGCCCCUUAUGUCCAGGGCUUCACGCAUGCUACAAUGGCUGGUACAGAGAGUGGCGAGCCUGUGAGGGUGAGCGAAUCUCGGAAAGCCGGUCUCAGUUCGGAUUGGGGUCUGCAACUCGACCUCAUGAAGUCGGAGUCGCUAGUAAUCGCAGAUCAGCAACGCUGCGGUGAAUACGUUCCCGGGGCU
RNAcentral lists this ribosomal RNA (1346 nucleotides) under uncultured bacterium. RNAcentral describes it as "partial 16S ribosomal RNA". It matches the Rfam family "Bacterial small subunit ribosomal RNA", at positions 28 to 1381 of the family's 1533-position model. The record is from RNAcentral.